AUUGAACGCUGGCGGCAUGCUUUACACAUGCAAGUCGAACGGCAGCGCGGGCUUCGGCCUGGCGGCGAGUGGCGAACGGGUGAGUAAUGCAUCGGAACGUGCCCAGUAGUGGGGGAUAGCCCGGCGAAAGCCGGAUUAAUACCGCAUACGACCUGAGGGUGAAAGCGGGGGACCGAAAGGCCUCGCGCUAUUGGAGCGGCCGAUGUCGGAUUAGCUAGUUGGUGGGGUAAAGGCUUACCAAGGCGACGAUCCGUAGCUGGUCUGAGAGGACGACCAGCCACACUGGGACGGAGACACGGCCCAGACUCCUACGGGAGGCAGCAGUGGGGAAUUUUGGACAAUGGGGGCAAACCUGAUCCAGCCAUGCCGCGUGCGGGAAGAAGGCCUUCGGGUUGUAAACCGCUUUUGUUCGGGAAGAAAUCCUCUGGGCUAAUACCCCGGGGGGAUGACGGUACCGGAAGAAUAAGCACCGGCUAACUACGUG
RNAcentral lists this ribosomal RNA (484 nucleotides) under uncultured bacterium. Its description in RNAcentral is "partial 16S ribosomal RNA". It matches the Rfam family "Bacterial small subunit ribosomal RNA", at positions 29 to 507 of the family's 1533-position model. The record is from RNAcentral.